GUUUUAAUAGUUUAAAGAAAACACUGGUCUUGUAAAUCAGAAAUAAGGUCUUCCUUUUAAAACU
This 64-nucleotide transfer RNA is filed under the name Poecilimon luschani. RNAcentral's name for it is "tRNA-Thr". It matches the Rfam family "tRNA". Rfam says of the family: Transfer RNA (tRNA) molecules are approximately 80 nucleotides in length. Their secondary structure includes four short double-helical elements and three loops (D, anti-codon, and T loops). The record is from RNAcentral. Lineage: Eukaryota; Metazoa; Arthropoda; Insecta; Orthoptera; Tettigoniidae.